CGUAGGUAAUCUACCUUUGGAUGGGGAAUAACAGUCGGAAACGGCUGCUAAUACCGCAUAAUGCAGCGGCACCUAAUGGUGACAGUUGUUAAAGCGGGGGAUCGAAAGACCUCGCGUCUAAAGAGGAGCCUGCGGCGGAUUAGCUAGUUGGUAAGGUAAUGGCUUACCAAGGCUACGAUCCGUAACCGGCCUGAGAGGGCGGUCGGUCACACUGACACUGGCAUACGGGUCAG
Molecule: ribosomal RNA, 233 nt
Filed under: uncultured bacterium
Lineage: Bacteria
Description: partial 16S ribosomal RNA
Rfam family: Bacterial small subunit ribosomal RNA
Source: RNAcentral